UACGUAGGUGGCAAGCGUUGUCCGGAAUUAUUGGGCGUAAAGCGCACGCAGGCGGUCCUUUAAGUCUGAUGUGAAAGCCCACGGCUCAACCGUGGAGGGUCAUUGGAAACUGGGGGACUUGAGUACAGAAGAGAAGAGUGGAAUUCCACGUGUAGCGGUGAAAUGCGUAGAGAUGUGGAGGAACACCAGUGGCGAAGGCGGCCUUCUGGGUCGACCCUGACGCUGAGGCGCGAAAGCGUGGGGAGCGAACGGG
This 253-nucleotide ribosomal RNA is filed under the name uncultured bacterium. RNAcentral's name for it is "partial 16S ribosomal RNA". It matches the Rfam family "Bacterial small subunit ribosomal RNA", at positions 524 to 776 of the family's 1533-position model. The record is from RNAcentral.